RNAcentral lists this ribosomal RNA (429 nucleotides) under Gemmatimonadota bacterium. RNAcentral's name for it is "Gemmatimonadetes bacterium partial 16S ribosomal RNA". It matches the Rfam family "Bacterial small subunit ribosomal RNA", at positions 355 to 776 of the family's 1533-position model. Lineage: Bacteria; Pseudomonadati; Gemmatimonadota. The record is from RNAcentral.
UAGGGAAUCUUCGGCAAUGGACGAAAGUCCGACAGAGCAACGCCGCGUGAGUGAAGAAGGUUUUCGGAUCGUAAAACUCUGUUGUUAGAGAAGAACAAGGACGUUAGUAACUGAACGUCCCCUGACGGUAUCUAACCAGAAAGCCACGGCUAACUACGUGCCAGCAGCCGCGGUAAUACGUAGGUGGCAAGCGUUGUCCGGAUUUAUUGGGCGUAAAGCGAGCGCAGGCGGUUUCUUAAGUCUGAUGUGAAAGCCCCCGGCUCAACCGGGGAGGGUCAUUGGAAACUGGGAGACUUGGGUGCAGAAGAGGAGAGUGGAAUUCCAUGUGUAGCGGUGAAAUGCGUAGAUAUAUGGGGGAACACGAGUGGCGAAGGCGGCUCUCUGGUCUGUAACUGACGCUGAGGCUCGAAAGCGUGGGGAGCAAACAGG